UAAUACGUAGGGUCCAAGCGUUGUCCGGAUUUAUUGGGCGUAAAGAGCUCGUAGGCGGUUUCGUAAGUCGGGCGUGAAAUCUCUGGGCUUAACCCAGAGCGGCCGUUCGAUACUGCGAUGACUUGAGUUUGGUAGAGGAGUGUGGAAUUCCUGGUGUAGCGGUGAAAUGCGCAGAUAUCAGGAGGAACACCAAUGGCGAAGGCAGCACUCUGGGCCAUAACUGACGCUGAGGAGCGAAAGCGUGGGUAGCGAACAGGAUUAGAUACCCUGGUAGUCCACGCCCUAAACGUUGGGUACUAGGUGUGGGGAUCUUCGACGGUUUCCGCGCCGCAGCUAACGCAUUAAGUACCCCGCCUGGGGAGUACGACCGCAAGGUUA
Molecule: ribosomal RNA, 378 nt
Filed under: uncultured bacterium
Lineage: Bacteria
Description: bacterial SSU rRNA
Rfam family: Bacterial small subunit ribosomal RNA
Source: RNAcentral